AGGCCUUAUAGUUGAAAAACAACAGUGAAUUGCAGAUUCAUAGGUACAUAAUAUAACUGUUGGGGCUUA
This 69-nucleotide transfer RNA is filed under the name Sypharochiton pelliserpentis. Its description in RNAcentral is "tRNA-Cys". The record is from RNAcentral. Lineage: Eukaryota; Metazoa; Mollusca; Polyplacophora; Chitonida; Chitonidae.